CUUCACUGUGUGGGGCCCAACAAAUUCUCCAUAUGCAUUCUCAUACGUGACUUUCUUCUCUCUCAGGGCUACCCGAUAGCCCCAGUUCAGUGAGCCAAUGUAAUUCUGAACAGAUUCGGUCAUAGUCAUCCAGUUGUGUUUGACUUCUUCUGUAAAUUGCCAUCCAAAUUUGCGUGAAUCUUGCAAGGCUUGUCCCAGUAAAGCUGCCUGGUGCAUCAGCUUUUUUGGUAUACAGCCCACAUUUACACAUGUUCCUCCAAG
Molecule: long non-coding RNA, 261 nt
Filed under: Gallus gallus (chicken)
Lineage: Eukaryota; Metazoa; Chordata; Aves; Galliformes; Phasianidae
Source: RNAcentral